GAUGAACGCUGGCGGCGUGCCUAGUACAUGCAAGUCGAGCGAACAGACGAGGAGCUUGCUCCUCUGACGUUAGCGGCGGACGGGUGAGUAACACGUGGAUAACCUACCUAUAAGACUGGGAUAACUUCGGGAAACCGGAGCUAAUACCGGAUAAUAUAUUGAACCGCAUGGUUCAAUAGUGAAAGACGGUUUUGCUGUCACUUAUAGAUGGAUCCGCGCCGCAUUAGCUAGUUGGUAAGGUAACGGCUUACCAAGGCAACGAUGCGUAGCCGACCUGAGAGGGUGAUCGGCCACACUGGAACUGAGACACGGUCCAGACUCCUACGGGAGGCAGCAGUAGGGAACCUUCCGCAAUGGGCGAAAGCUUGACGGAGCAACGCCGCGUGAGUGAUGAAGGUCUUCGGAUCGUAAAACUCUGUUAUUAGGGAAGAACAAAUGUGUAAGUAACUAUGCACGUCUUGACGGUACCUAAUCAGAAAGCCACGGCUAACUACGUG
This 497-nucleotide ribosomal RNA is filed under the name uncultured bacterium. Its description in RNAcentral is "partial 16S ribosomal RNA". It matches the Rfam family "Bacterial small subunit ribosomal RNA", at positions 28 to 507 of the family's 1533-position model. The record is from RNAcentral.